GCCAACUCUGCUUCUGUCAAAAUAGCUUGCUUACGUUUCCAGGAUGUGGUUUCUGCCUGUGUAAGUCCCCAGCACCCUCAGGUCGGGGCUGCUCACUGAACUCACUGCGCGGAGUGACAGUAAGCAGUCUCUGGCCGGCUGAUAAAGGCUCUUUAAAUUCUGUUUGGCUGUCUCGUACUUUAACUCGUGGGCACCGUAACAUUUGGAGGCCCCAGCGAGAUAAUCCUCGGUGUUUGCUGAGGCUCAUCGGUCGAGACAAAGGUCUGACUACCGGCCCUCCCCCAGGGGGCGCGCUGAGAGACGUUCCUCAGCCCGGCGGACAGCCAAGUGGUCAAGCCUCAAAAUUCAAAAAUCCGCCUCUGGAGCCAUCUAGACGUGGGCCCACAAUGGACUUUCGGCGACGAGCUGCAGGAUCGGGAGCCAUAGUCAACCCAGGAACUCUCUGGACCCUCUGCGAGCUUGAAUGGCCAACUUUUCCAGACUCUAAUUGGCCACCAGAGGGCACUCUAAACUUGCCAAUUGCCUUCCAGGUUCAGAGAGUUAUCUAUGGAAAACCGGGACAUGCGGAUUAAAUUCCACUACACCCCCGGCAACUCUCUCCAGCCCCCCCACAUCCGUUCCAGAGGUUCGUUCGGGUCACAUAGUCAGGUCCUUGUCCCCGCUCAAUUACCCCUGAAACAAGUCAUUACUCAUCUCUCUGUUAGAGUCCGUUUUCUUUACCCACCAGCCCACAUGGGACGACUGUCAACAACUUCUGCAGACCCUUUUCACGUCAGAGGAGACAGAGAGAAUCCGUGCCAGGGACGGAAACUAGUCGUGGGGCCAGACAGUCUGCCAGCCACGGAAGUAAACCGCCUCGAGGCUGUUUUUCCCUUCACCCGACCCCGGUGGGACCCUAACACGAAUGAAGAUAAGGAGGCUCGCUAACGGUACCGCCAGAGUGUGAUGGGGGCUCUCCGAGUAGCGGCGUGGAAGCCUACAAGUAUGUCCGAGGUAACUGAGGUAAGUCGGGCCACUGAGUCCCCUGCCGCUUUCCUGGAGCGCCUGCAGGAGGCUUAGCGGUUACACACCCCUAUAGAUCCGGAGGCGCCGGAGAACAGGCGAGCAGUUAAUAUUGCCUUUGUUGCCCAGUCAGCCCCAGAUAUAAGAAAAAAGUUACAGAAGUUAGAAGGCUUUGGGAAAAGGAACUGGGCGAGUUGGUGGAGGUUGCUCAACAAGUCUCCAAUAAUAGGGAAAGUUCCAAAGACUUAAACAAAAAUUGGCGCAGAUCCUACUUGCCAUGAGUGAAGACCAGACGCGGAGUAAAAACCGAGGAGAGGGUCAGAAGUUCGGAAGAAAGCCAGGGGGAGAAAAUAGACCGCCCAGUGGGAGAGAAGGGUGAAAGGCCCCCCCCAGGCCAAAACCAGUGCGCUUUCUGUAAGGAACAGGGGCACUGAAAAAACGAGUGCCCAGAAAAAAAAGCCCCACCAAAGGUUCUCCUAAAGAAGGAAGACUGACGAGGCCGGGGCUCCGCCCUUAGCCCCCAGGAGCCCAGAGUCACUCUUAAAGUAGAGGGCCGAAACAUUAACUUUUUAGUGAACACUGGGGCGACUUUCUCUGUACUCCAGGAAGCAGAAGGCACAGCUUUACAUUUCCCAAGUCUCCUGUCUUGGGUACAAUAUAGCAGAAGGAAAGGGAACGUUGUCUAAUAAAUGCAUUCAAGCUAUCCUCCAAAUUCCAGCACCCCGGACAAAGCGGCAGGUCCGGGAGUUUUUAGGAGCAGUUGGGUAUUGCGGCUAUGAAUCCUUAGGUUUGCUGAAAUAGCCCACCCUCUUUACACCAGUACCGGGGGAAAGGACAUUAAAAAUGCCUCAAAAAUACUAAAACUUUUAACAGCCCUUUAGCUUCCCAGAGCAGUAGCCAUAAUCCACUGCAAAGAACAUCAAACCUCAAAUACGCCCGAAGCAAAGGGAAAUGCUUUCGCCGACCAGACGGCCAAAGAAGUGGCCCUAAAACCAGUGGGGCCCCUCCAGAUCUUGCCCCUCCUACCACCCCAGGUACUAAAAACCGCUCCAACUUGCUCAGACUAACAUUCGGCUAGGUCAAGGACUCCAAGCUGAAGACAAUCCAAAGGGGUGAAAAGUCCUCCUGACUCUAAAAUCCUUCUACCAGAGGCACUGGGAAUUUUACAAACACAUCAAAGUACACAUCUGGGAGGAACAAAAUUAGCUAAAUUGUUAAAAACUGACCUUUACAUACCUAAGCUUUUCCAGGUGGCAAAAGAGGUAAGCAGAAGGUGUCGUGUCUGCGCUCAGGUUAACUCAAGUCAUGCAAGUACCCCUGCUACUCCCGGUCACCACCUAAGAGGUCAGCUCCCUGGAGAGCGAUGGAAAAUGGCCUUUACGAAACUGUCUCCUGGACCAAGGGGAUACAAGUACUUACUCGUGCUGGUAAACACCUUCUCCAGAUGGAUUGAGGCCUACCCAACUUGGUCACAGUCAGCUCAGGUAGUAGCUAAGAAAUUGUUAGCUAAAAUUAUCCCCCGGUUUGGCCUACCAGUAACAAUGGGGUCUGACAAGCCCGGCUUUUAUAGCCCAAGUUACCCAAAGCUUAGUAAAAGCAUUAAAAAUCAAAUAAAAACUACACUGCAUCUACAAACUACAAAGCUCAGGGCAGGUAGAAAGGAUGAAUCGGACACUUAAGAAAACCCUCACCAAACUUAAAUUGGAGACUGGCGGGAACUGGGUGAGCUUCCUUCUGUUUGCCUUGCUCAAAGCUAGGUGUACCCCUUAUGUAAAAGGUAUUACUCCAUAUAAAGCCAUGUUCGGCAGGCCGCCCCCGCUCCUCCCCAAGUUAGGGGAAGAGCAGCUCGCCUCCCUGUCUAACUCUGAACUUCUCAAGUCCCUACAGGCCUUACACUACGCCGUCCACACCCACCGCCCGAAACCAGACACUGCGAAAGAAGAAACCCCUACUGCUGAACCUGGUGAUCAAUACUAGCCGCCGAAAACCCCCAAACAGUGGUUAGCCAGGUCAGCACCACUGGCAGCCCUAAAUUUGUUUUUACCUAUGUAAUCUCUUUAAAAAAAAAAAAACCUGAAUGUUGCCAAAAGGGAGGGAGGGGGAACCACCAGAGGUGUCGUGGUGAGUUACCCCUAACACAAGAGCUGUGGCACUCGCACUAUUAUCCUUGGAGCACUACCCCUAAGCUUACUUUAGGUAACUUUCAAGGACAAGGCUCACCCAUGUCCUUCCCCAAGUAUAUAACUAUUCUAGCGAGGGAAGUAGGGAACACCUCAGGCUAACUAACCUCAAACGAGUCAAGCAAGGGGGACCAGUAUUAAUACCUGUGCUCCACAGGCUUGGGGCGGCCGGAGCAGCCGCGGUAGAAACCACAGCUCUUGUCACAGGAAAUCAAAACUUUAAAAUCCUUAGCGCCCAAAUUAAUCAAGAUCUAAAAACCUUAGAAGAGAGCAUUACUAAAUUUAAAAAGUCCUUAAGCUCUUUAGCAGAAAUAGUGCUCCAGAAUCGGAGGGGACUCAACCUUCUAUUCUUAAAGCAGGGAGGGCUCUGUUUAGCCUUAGGCAAAGCAUGCUGUUUUUAUACUAACCACUCAAGUGUAAUUUAAAAAAUUUGAGCCAACUCCAAAAAAAACUACAAGAUAGAGAAAAGCAAAGGAAAAAAAAAAGCAAACAGGUUUAAAAACUUAUUAUCUUGGUCUCCAUGGUUAACUACCCUAAUGUCAAUUGCCGGGCCCCUGGUUCUUCUCCUGUUAGCCUUAAUCAUAGGUCCCUGUGUUAUAAACCGUUUAGUUAAAUCUGUCCGACAGCAUACCCUCAGAAGAAACAAUGAUUUGAUUCUCCCUAAAAACCAGUGGGGAAUGAAGUGGGUCCCUGCCCCUUAACCUUUACAAAAUAAGAAUGUUGUGUAAGCAGCGUUAAGCCCUGAGAAGAAGGACGUGAAACUGCGGUUGCACACAUUAGCCAAGCGUAACGCUUUUAACAAUCAACAAUUGUACCAAUUCCAAGUGAAACUUUUUGUAAAUUUUUCUGUACCAACCUCUGUGCCAACCUUGCUAAAAUGUCCUAAGCAACCAGUAGCUAACUGCCAACUCUGCUUCUGUCAAAAUAGCUUGCUUACGUUUCCAGGAUGUGGUUUCUGCCUGUGUAAGUCCCCAGCACCCUCAGGUCGGGGCUGCUCACUGAACCCCCUGCGCAGAGUGACAGUGAGCAGUCGCCGGCUGGCUAAUAAAGGCUCUUUAAAUUCUG
Long non-coding RNA from Choloepus didactylus (southern two-toed sloth), 4247 nucleotides. RefSeq lists it as uncharacterized. The record is from RefSeq and is a predicted model, not a curated record. NCBI's taxonomy places the organism in Eukaryota, Metazoa, Chordata, Mammalia, Pilosa, Megalonychidae. The transcript is spliced from 2 exons.